This 483-nucleotide ribosomal RNA is filed under the name uncultured bacterium. RNAcentral's name for it is "partial 16S ribosomal RNA". It matches the Rfam family "Bacterial small subunit ribosomal RNA", at positions 30 to 507 of the family's 1533-position model. The record is from RNAcentral.
AUUGAACGCUGGCGGCAGGCCUAACACAUGCAAGUCGAGCGGAUGAAGGGAGCUUGCUCCUGGAUUCAGCGGCGGACGGGUGAGUAAUGCCUAGGAAUCUGCCUGGUAGUGGGGGAUAACGUCCGGAAACGGGCGCUAAUACCGCAUACGUCUGAGGGAGAAAGUGGGGGAUCUUCGGACCUCACGCCAUCCGAUGAGCCCUGGUCGGAUUAGCUAGUUGGGGGGGUAAAGGCCUACCAAGGCGACGAUCCGUAACUGGUCUGAGAGGAUGAUCAGUCACACUGGAACUGAGACACGGUCCAGACUCCUACGGGAGGCAGCAGUGGGGAAUAUUGGACAAUGGGCGAAAGCCUGAUCCAGCCAUGCCGCGUGUGUGAAGAAGGUCUUCGGAUUGUAAAGCACUUUAAGUUGGGAGGAAGGGCAGUAAGUUAAUACCUUGCUGUUUUGACGUUACCAACAGAAUAAGCACCGGCUAACUUCGUG